UACGGAGGGGGCAAGCGUUGUUCGGAAUUACUGGGCGUAAAGCGCGCGUAGGCGGUUUUUCAAGUUAGGCGUGAAAGCCCUGGGCUCAACCCGGGAAUUGCGCUUGAUACUGGAUGACUUGAGGCCGGGAGAGGGUAGUGGAAUUCCCAGUGUAGAGGUGAAAUUCGUAGAUAUUGGGAAGAACACCAGUGGCGAAGGCGGCUACCUGGACCGGUUCUGACGCUGAUGCGCGAAAGCGUGGGGAGCAAACAGG
Molecule: ribosomal RNA, 253 nt
Filed under: uncultured bacterium
Lineage: Bacteria
Description: partial 16S ribosomal RNA
Rfam family: Bacterial small subunit ribosomal RNA
Source: RNAcentral